Molecule: microRNA precursor, 74 nt
Filed under: Podarcis lilfordi (Lilford's wall lizard)
Lineage: Eukaryota; Metazoa; Chordata; Lepidosauria; Squamata; Lacertidae
Source: RNAcentral
CUGCGCCUUCUCCCUCUCUGCGCAGCACCUCUCCUGUGAAGGAGAGGUGCUGCGCGGAGAGGGAGAAGGCGCAG